This 363-nucleotide ribosomal RNA is filed under the name uncultured bacterium. Its description in RNAcentral is "bacterial SSU rRNA". It matches the Rfam family "Bacterial small subunit ribosomal RNA", at positions 43 to 384 of the family's 1533-position model. The record is from RNAcentral.
GAAUUCACUAGUGAUUCAGGCCUAACACAUGCAAGUCGAGCGGUAACAGAGAGUAGUUUACUAUUCUGCUGACGAAAAAAGGACGGGUGAGUAAUGCCUAGGAAUCUGCCUAGUAGUGGGGGAUAACUUGCCGAAAGGUAAGCUAAUACCGCAUACGUCCUACGGGAGAAAGCAGGGGACUCUUCGGAGCCUUGCGCUAUUAGAUGAGCCUAGGUCGGAUUAGUUAGUUGGUGAGGUAAUGGCUCACCAAGACUGCGAUCCGUAACUGGUCUGAGAGGAAGAUCAGUCACACUGGAUCUGGGACACGGUCCAGACUCCUACGGGAGGCAGCAGUGGGGAAUAUUGGACAAUGGGGGAAACCCU